GGCUUCAGCCGGUUCAAUAUAGUAAUCACAUAAGUAAACUCUAAUGACGUGAAUAAACUAUAAGGGAAGAGAUGUAAACCCCUUGAGGUAUCAUUUCAUUAGUUAUUCUCGUGUACAUAAUGAAGUGUUAAACUGAUUUACCUCCACACCUGAGCUGGAGGUAACAGCGAUAUUUCAGAUAUGAGGGUCACCCACGUCUGGAGCCUCGUGAAUAUAAUCUUAAGAACAAGGAUGAGGUCAACCAGAAGACGGACGAUAACUAUAAGAGGUGUCUCGACAAGCAGGACUUCAAGAUCGCCAUUUUCCGAAGCCAUCUGAUGUGAGAACAAGACUGAGAUACCACAUUGAUUUACCUUCAACAAUGAACUUCCAAGAAAUGUUUGAUUAAUAUAUAAAUAUCUCUU
Homarus americanus (American lobster) is the source of this 404-nucleotide long non-coding RNA. RefSeq lists it as uncharacterized. The transcript has 3 exons. NCBI's taxonomy places the organism in Eukaryota, Metazoa, Arthropoda, Malacostraca, Decapoda, Nephropidae. The record is from RefSeq and is a predicted model, not a curated record.